RNAcentral lists this unclassified non-coding RNA (355 nucleotides) under soil metagenome. RNAcentral's name for it is "partial contains 5.8S ribosomal RNA, internal transcribed spacer 2, and large subunit ribosomal RNA". The stretch from base 1 to 120 matches the Rfam family "5.8S ribosomal RNA", at positions 35 to 154 of the family's 154-position model. The record is from RNAcentral.
GAUGAAGAACGCAGCGAAAUGCGAUAAGUAAUGUGAAUUGCAGAAUUCAGUGAAUCAUCGAAUCUUUGAACGCACAUUGCGCCCAUUAGUAUUUUAGUGGGCAUGCCUGUUCGAGCGUCAUUAAGUCCACUUAAGCCCUGCUUAGUGUUGGGAGACUGCUCCAGCGGUGCUACCCUGUAGCUACCCUGCAGCUCCUCAAAGACAGCGGCGGAGUUGUGGUAUCCUCUGAGCUUAGUAACUUGUUCUAGCUUUCGAGUACACCACUUCCCCUGCCGUAAAACCCUUAAUUUUUAAUGGUUGACCUCGGAUCAGGUAGGAAUACCCGCUGAACUUAAGCAUAUCAAUAAGCGGAGGA